RNAcentral lists this transfer RNA (76 nucleotides) under Balneola sp. Its description in RNAcentral is "tRNA-Gly". It matches the Rfam family "tRNA". Rfam says of the family: Transfer RNA (tRNA) molecules are approximately 80 nucleotides in length. Their secondary structure includes four short double-helical elements and three loops (D, anti-codon, and T loops). Lineage: Bacteria; Pseudomonadati; Balneolota; Balneolia; Balneolales; Balneolaceae. The record is from RNAcentral.
GCGAGAGUAGCUCAAUUGGUAGAGCGUCACCCUUCCAAGGUGAAUGUUGCCGGUUCGAUUCCGGUCGCUCGCUCAA